AGCAGUUCCAUGGAGGAGCAGCCAGGAAUCCUUCUGCUGAGUUUAUAUGGAUUAAUGGAUUAUUAUGAUAAUCUACAGGAAACGAGGACACACCCAGAUAACGGUAUACUGGGACUGAGUUCAAGUGAAACACGGAAACGAGUGUAGAGAAGAUGGCGGCAGUGAACGCGGCGAUGGUGUGGGGGGUUCUGGUCUCUGCUCGCUUCAUCUCCAUCUCUGCUGAUUAGAACGAUGUGGUAAACAACUUGUAUCCUCAGAAAAGCAGACGUCGGUCUCCGCCAGUCACGUGACAUUUGUUGCUAAGACGCCAUUUUUGGUGGAAAAGGCGUUGUGUAAAUAACCGCAGCAUAGCUAAAGGAAGGACUAAAGGAUUUAGUUUGUUUCUCUGACUAUAUGGAAAAAAGUAAGCAGAAUGCGAAAUUACCGUACCUCCAUUUUCUAUUUCAUUUUUAUUACAAGUAUAUGGUUUACAACAGUUUCCAAUGGGAUGAGAACAUUUGGACACUGUGUAACAA
Molecule: long non-coding RNA, 515 nt
Organism: Cyprinodon variegatus (sheepshead minnow)
Lineage: Eukaryota; Metazoa; Chordata; Actinopteri; Cyprinodontiformes; Cyprinodontidae
Exons: 3
Source: RefSeq, a predicted model, not a curated record